GGUAACUUGUAAAUAAAUCGAUUUCGGAUUGUGAGAAGGGUCUAUUAAUUGAGAGCUCGCUUACGAAGUGUAUGUGUUUCUUGUAUAAACUGUUAAAUCACAUGGAUUAGUAAAAUAAAAUCGAUAAAGAGCACAACACGUACACUGAAAAUGCCGAAGGAUUACAAAUGCGAGGGUUUGGAAGACGUUCGAACAAAUGAAAGUAACAUAAACAUGGUUGUUCAGUUGGUGUUUGACAUUCUAUCUGGGCGACUUUGGACAUCACAAUUCAUAACAAAUUCGCACUACAUUGGACAAAAAGUCAUUACGCCGAUGGAAGAUGUAUCUUCUAAUCAACACUAUGUUUCGAUCAAUAAUACCUGUACCGUCGAAACUACCAUUGCUGAACAGCCAACUAUCAGCAUAAAUGACGAAGGACAAAGAAUCAUUACGACGAUGGAAGAUGUAUCUACAAAUCAACACUCUAUUGUGAUAAAUAAUACCUAUACAGACAAAAACACCAUUGCUGAAUAGCCUACUAUCCGCAUAAACGACGAAGAAGAAGACACAAUACCAUCCGGUCAAGAUUAUUCUGAUAGUACUGCACAGAAAAGAGAUCUAGAACUUCAUGAAGAAACAGUCCUUCGGCCAAAUAUCAACAAUCAUUCGGAAACAAUUUAUGAAAGACGUAUUCAAUACAAAUUGGAAAAGGCUGUUGAUGUUAUGGACCAGAGAUAAGAUGAUUCACUCUUAACCAUUUCACAAGAAGGAAGGGCCAUUAUUCAAGAUUUGAACAAACACAAGAGUGUUAAGUUAAAGAACAAAGGUGUCAGUGAAUACGGGGAAACUUUAUAUGCGGAUGACCGGACUACGAGGUUUAUGUUGGAGCAAGACGACGUAAUAAGUGGGAGUCCGGAACUAAGUAGUGACUGGUAUGACGAUGUAACGAUAACAGAUGAAGUGAUUGCUGAAUUUGAGAAAUUUAAGGAACAAUCUGGAUACAACGAAGUAAUGAAGAAACUUGAUAAAUCAAAUAGUAAAUGGAAACAACCGACUAUCAAUAUUGCAGUUACCGGCGAAACAGGAACUGGAAAAUCAACGUUAAUAAAUUCUUUACGAGGUUUGAAAUAUAACAAUGAUGGAGCAGCAAAGACAGGGUGUACAGAAACAACAACUAAGGUGACAUGUUAUCAACACCCAGAAUACCCGUUCCUGAAUGUUUGGGAUCUCCCUGGUGUUGGAACACCAAAUUUCACGCGCGACAAAUAUUUUUAAAUGGUCAAUUUCAAGGAUUAUGAUUUUCUGCUGCUUGUUUCGAAUUCGCGUUUUAAAGAAAACGAUUUGUGGCUGGCCAAAGAAAUCGUGAAAACAACACAAAACAUAAAUUUGUUUUUCAUUAGAUCAAAAUUUGACAACGAUUUGUACAAUUUCAAACAGGAACUACGGCAUGAUUUAAAACCAGAAAAAACCUGCUCUAAAAUUAGAAAAGACGUUGUGAUGGAUAUUAUUUACAAUCUUGGAAAAGGGGGAAUUAAAGAUGCAAGGGUGUUCUUGAUAAAUAGUCACAGAACGGAUACGUUUGAUUUUGAGAAGCUUCAAAUGUCUUUUAUCCAAACUGUGUCCGAUUUGAAACGCGAUGCAAUGAUACUUUCAUUGACCACACACAGCAAAGAAAUACUUGAAAGAAAAGUUGAUGUUUUAAGGAAACAUAUUCCUACGAUUGCACAUAGUGCAGGGUUAGCAGCAUCGCUUUCCAAAACCGAAAGCGACGAAAGACCUGAGAUAACGUUGUUACUAAAUGAAGCGCGUCUAUACGCAAUACAACUUGGGAUCAACAUAGAAUCAUUGAAUACCGUCGCCAAGAAUUUUAGAAUGGAUGUAAGUGUCAUUAAAAAAGCAGUGAACAUGCAAUCACCUGCUCUUUUGUCAUCUGAAAGAAGUUUUCUACAAUAUUACAAGACAUUUGACGAUUGUUAUCGGCAGUCUCCUGAUAAAAUAUCGUCGGGCGAUUUAGGACGCAAUGUGCAAAGUCAGUGUAAAACUGUAUUGAAAAACAUCCUAGAUAUGUGUAUAUCGGAGAGUAACAAACUGCAUUUACAAAUUGCAGAUUUGUCAGAACUGGAAUCGGCUUAAUUCAGUUGAUUUCAAACAGCCUUGCUAUGUGUCAUGAUUCACUUGGUAGUAAAAAUACCUCACUCUUAGACCCAUGCAUGCACUUUCACACAUGUUUGCAUACACAGAUACGAAAUGAGAUGACAUUUCCUCUAUUUCUCAAAUUAUUCCUCCAAAUAUUAUAACAUGUAAACAAUUUUUCAACAUGUUACGGAAAACGUUUCCAUUUAUACAUGCAGAUAAGAUUUAUAUCAUGUUUGGUCGAUAUUGAAGUUCUAUAUACCCUUAAUCGAUAUUUACGUAUUUUAGCAUGCACAAAUUAUUACUCGUCGGACUUGGUCUUAAAAUAGAUGUGAUAAAAAUUUUAUAUUAGAAAAACAAAAUGUACAUAUUAUCCAUAAAUUUUAUUAGAAAAUAUGGCGCAUACGGCUGUGUAUUUUACCGAAUAUUUUAAUGGCCCGUGUAUAAUAUUUUUACACAAUUUGAAAACAUAUGGUAGUAUUGUUAUGGACAAUCAAAUCAAAUAUCUGUAAACUCAUUUAUUCGGGUAUUUGUUAGAUAUAUAUUGAUAUUCGACUUGUACUUUCAACAGAUCGAAUUAAAACAUUUUAAUGUUU
Molecule: long non-coding RNA, 2708 nt
Organism: Dreissena polymorpha
Lineage: Eukaryota; Metazoa; Mollusca; Bivalvia; Myida; Dreissenidae
Exons: 7
Source: RefSeq, a predicted model, not a curated record